This 301-nucleotide ribosomal RNA is filed under the name uncultured bacterium. RNAcentral describes it as "partial 16S ribosomal RNA". It matches the Rfam family "Bacterial small subunit ribosomal RNA", at positions 509 to 807 of the family's 1533-position model. The record is from RNAcentral.
CAGUAGCCACGGGAAUACGAAGGGUGCAAGCGUUAAUCGGAAUUACUGGGCGUAAAGGGUGCGUAGGCGGUUGUUUAAGUCUGUUGUGAAAUCCCCGGGCUCAACCUGGGAAUGGCAAUGGAAACUGGACGGCUAGAGUGUGUCAGAGGAUGGUGGAAUUCCCGGUGUAGCGGUGAAAUGCGUAGAGAUCGGGAGGAACAUCAGUGGCGAAGGCGACUAUCUGGGCCAACACUGACACUGAGGCACGAAAGCGUGGGGAGCAAACAGGAUUAGAUACCCCGGUAGUCCCUGUCUCUUAUAC